UACGGAGGGGGCUAGCGUUGUUCGGAAUUACUGGGCGUAAAGCGCACGUAGGCGGCUUUGUAAGUUAGAGGUGAAAGCCCGGGGCUCAACUCCAGAACUGCCUUUGAUACUGGAGAGCUUGAGUCCGGGAGAGGUGAGUGGAACUCCGAGUGUAGAGGUGAAAUUCGUAGAUAUUCGGAAGAACACCAGUGGCGAAGGCGGCUCACUGGCCCGGUACUGACGCUGAUGUGCGAAAGCGUGGGGAGCAAACAGG
Molecule: ribosomal RNA, 253 nt
Filed under: uncultured bacterium
Lineage: Bacteria
Description: partial 16S ribosomal RNA
Rfam family: Bacterial small subunit ribosomal RNA
Source: RNAcentral